This 995-nucleotide long non-coding RNA is filed under the name Elaeis guineensis (African oil palm). RNAcentral's name for it is "long non-coding RNA (EGUI_LNC011833)". The record is from RNAcentral. Lineage: Eukaryota; Viridiplantae; Streptophyta; Magnoliopsida; Arecales; Arecaceae.
CUGCUUAAACACACAAUGACUCGACCCUUGAUCACUUCGUUUAAGAUUUCACCCCAUAAAAGUACGGUAAAAGUAAAUCAAAGGCAAUUAGUUUCUUAGAAUGUUUUCUUAACAGCGCCGCUACUUUAGUUGGUAGCUAGGCGCAAAUUAAUUGCCCUCUUGAAGAGAACAACGGGCAUACUCUUGGCCUCCAUGCUAUAAGAUGGGAUGGGAGGAUAGCAGCAUCUUAUAGUCCACGCAACGAGUUAGAGAAGCGAACAUGGAGAAGUAUACCAAGACGGUGCUGAUCCUUAUCCUCCUCCUUGCCGCCUUUGUUGGGGUUCUCGAAGGAAGAGAUAUCAAGAGCGAGUCCAAUCCAAACAUACAGCCUCAGAACUUCCGCAAGGUCUACAAACGCUUCUUUGGGAAGCCCAUAUUUGGCAAGGGCUCGGGCCUCAAACCUCCGUUCGGGUUCGGACAACCAGGUUAUGGCGGUGCCUUCCCCGGUUUCGGUAAAGUCCCAGGGGGCAAGGUGGGUGGCCCAUGAUCAAAUGGCUGCACGAGGGAACUAUCGAUAGGGGUGGCUCGGUAGUUUUAGUAGGCUGCAGCAGAACUAUAUAAACUGUUCUAUGUUGUGUCCGUGUGCUUAGGUUACGUCUUGCAUGUCUGUGAUUGGUGACGGUCAUAUAGUUAUGGAGCUCUAAGUUAGUUCUGUUCUAGUAUUAAGUGUGCCUUGUACGAGAUUCCACCCUCUAGAACCUGCUAGUUUUGAAGCCAAAAUGGAGUUCUCUCUCGUGUGCUUGGGCUAGCUAUUUCGUGUCUGUGAUCGGUGACGGUCAUAAAGUCAAGGGGCUCUCUUUUUUCUUAUGAAAGAAUAAAGUCAUGGAUCUCUAACUAAGUUCUGUUGCUAAUAUUUAAUGUGCUCUGUUCGAGCUUCAGCAUCUAGAACAUGCUAGCGUUGCAGCAACUCUCUCUCUCUCAUGCAUGCCAAUGUCAUCAUGAAAAUUAUAUUAGCA